UAGGGAACCUUCCGCAAUGGACGAAAGUCUGACGGAGCAACGCCGCGUGAGUGAUGAAGGCUUUCGGGUCGUAAAACUCUGUUGUUAGGGAAGAACAAGUACGAGAGUAACUGCUCGUACCUUGACGGUACCUAACCAGAAAGCCACGGCUAACUACGUGCCAGCAGCCGCGGUAAUACGUAGGUGGCAAGCGUUAUCCGGAAUUAUUGGGCGUAAAGCGCGCGCAGGCGGUUUCUUAAGUCUGAUGUGAAAGCCCACGGCUCAACCGUGGAGGGUCAUUGGAAACUGGGGGAACUUGAGUGCAGAAGAGAAAAGCGGAAUUCCACGUGUAGCGGUGAAAUGCGUAGAGAUGUGGAGGAACACCAGUGGCGAAGGCGGCUUUUUGGUCUGUAACUGACGCUGAGGCGCGAAAGCGUGGGGAGCAAACAGGAUUAGAUACCCUGGUAGUCCACGCCGUAAACGAUGAGUGCUAAGUGUUAGAGGGUUUCCGCCCUUUAGUGCUGCAGCUAACGC
RNAcentral lists this ribosomal RNA (513 nucleotides) under uncultured Bacillota bacterium. RNAcentral's name for it is "bacterial SSU rRNA". It matches the Rfam family "Bacterial small subunit ribosomal RNA", at positions 355 to 858 of the family's 1533-position model. Lineage: Bacteria; Bacillati; Bacillota. The record is from RNAcentral.